UAUCUCCUUCCAUAGUGAGAAGUGAUGCAC
This 30-nucleotide non-coding RNA is filed under the name Mus musculus (house mouse). The record is from RNAcentral. Lineage: Eukaryota; Metazoa; Chordata; Mammalia; Rodentia; Muridae.